AUUUGCUAUCGUGUUCAACGCUUAGCCUAUCCACGCCUCCCUCAUUGCUAAACCAGGGUUUUUUUUGUUCCUUUACAUCUAUAUUCUUCCUAAACCUAAACUCAUCUCCCUCAAAUUUCUGCCGUUUCAAAAUCUUUGUUCUCUCCUUUAUUCUCAAUCUAUCAUACGUUCCUAAUCUAUCCAUUUAUUCAGCCUAAUCAUCUUCACAAGAUAUUAUAAUCUUCUCCCUCGCCGUCCAAGAAGUUCCUGAUUCUCGAUUUUUAGUCAAGGUUAAGACUACGAAUCCGAAGAAGUAUUGCGUCCGUCUCAACACCAGAGUUGUAAAAUGAGGAUCUGCUAAAUGAUUAUUUAUAACGUGUCAGUUUUCCUGAACUUGAAUUAGCCAUACAUGUUUAGAAAUAGAAUUACAUGACUGUUGACUCAAAAGCAUAUACUGUCACAACAUGAUAUAGAAACAGUAAAGAUUAUACAUACUACUAAAUCGUUACUUCAGUGAAGAUGAUUAGGUAUUUGAUGGUUAUGGUGAUGGUUUUCUACUUUUCUUCAUGUAUCAUGGUAUGUCAGGUGAUUGGUGUUGUUGAUGUGAGGGAUUACUGCGGUUUUGGAGGUUUUGAAAAUGAUGAAACAUACUGAAACCUUUGUUCAAUACUUCAAUCUGGGCACACAUUCCAUAUUUUAAAAGCUAACAAUGAAUAGACAAAACCAACUAUUUGGUAAUUCACCAUGACCUCCAACUGAUUUAAAACGAAAAAAGAAGACAUACACUGGAUGUUAGCUGUAAUGGAAAUAAUAAUUACCAGGCAAUCAGUAUCUGUAUGUAUUUGGUGCAAGCAUACGCCCGAGGAAGGUUUUAUUUGGUACGAUUUGUACGCUGAUAGAUCUCAGAUCAUGGAAACUUUAUUGUUGAUGGGGCCGAAGCAUACCAAAUGGUUAGUCGUAUCAUAAACUUCCUUUUUUAUUCUUUUAAUUAAAAUCUACAGGUUUAUAGAUAUUUUUGUAGGAAUUUUGGAUCAGACAUAUUGAUGGAUCACCUUCAAGUUAGACGCAGAGAGACAGAACAUGGUCCUGCUGCAUCUUGAAGCAGCAAUAGAGCGAGGCGUUCCCGGGAUGAUAUAUAAUAUCUUCUUUUCUAUGAGUUAACAUAAUACAAGGGGGGGAUUGAUGAUAGAGAUACGCACAAAAGACGGGUUGAAUUAUUAUUUGAUGUCCUGUAUCUUCAAUCUUUUUUUUAUGAUUGACCUCGCAAUACAAUAGUUUAUUCCAUUUGAGGGGUCAAGAGGUCGAAAAAAUCAACAUGGCACAAGCGGUGAGUAGUCCCUGGGUGUUUGAGUUUGCUGCAUACAAAAUGGGGAUGGCGGCGGUGUUACCGCGUGGUAACCCCUUCACUGUCCCGUUCACCCUUAAUCAUAUCACCUUUGUUUUUACUAUAUACAUGGUAAACUUGUAAUGCCAGUAGCCUUUGAACUUUUGAGCGUAUGCAUGAUGAAAUGUUCUUAGCACCAGGGUUGUGGAAUAGAUUAUAUAACUAUGUAAAUAUGAUACUUAACAUAAUUUUAUCUUAUUUUGAGUUGUCAUUA
Molecule: long non-coding RNA, 1577 nt
Organism: Helianthus annuus (common sunflower)
Lineage: Eukaryota; Viridiplantae; Streptophyta; Magnoliopsida; Asterales; Asteraceae
Exons: 3
Source: RefSeq, a predicted model, not a curated record